AUUGAACGCUGGCGGCAGGCCUAACACAUGCAAGUCGAGCGGAUGAAGGGAGCUUGCUCCUGGAUUCAGCGGCGGACGGGUGAGUAAUGCCUAGGAAUCUGCCUGGCAGUGGGGGAUAACGUCCGGAAACGGGCGCUAAUACCGUAUACGUCCUGAGUGAGAAAGUGGGGGAUCUUCGGACCUCACGCUAUCAGAUGAGCCUGGGUCGGAUUAGCUAGUUGGUGGGGUAAAGGCCUACCAAGGCGACGAUCCGUAACUGGUCUGAGAGGAUGAUCAGUCACACUGGAACUGAGACACGGUCCAGACUCCUACGGGAGGCAGCAGUAGGGAAUAUUGGGCAAUGGGCGAAAGCCUGAUGCAGCCAUGCCGCGUGUGUGAAGAAGGUCUUCGGAUUGUAAAGCACUUUAAGUUGGGAGGAAGGGCAGUAAGUUAAUACCUGGCUGUUUUGACGGUACCAACAGAAUAAGCACCGGCUAACUUCGUG
RNAcentral lists this ribosomal RNA (484 nucleotides) under uncultured bacterium. Its description in RNAcentral is "partial 16S ribosomal RNA". It matches the Rfam family "Bacterial small subunit ribosomal RNA", at positions 30 to 507 of the family's 1533-position model. The record is from RNAcentral.